Molecule: ribosomal RNA, 430 nt
Filed under: Fusobacteriota bacterium
Lineage: Bacteria; Fusobacteriati; Fusobacteriota
Description: Fusobacteria bacterium partial 16S ribosomal RNA
Rfam family: Bacterial small subunit ribosomal RNA
Source: RNAcentral
UAGGGAAUCUUCGGCAAUGGACGAAAGUCUGACCGAGCAACGCCGCGUGAGUGAAGAAGGUUUUCUGAUCGUAAAACUCUGUUGUUAGAGAAGAACAAGGAUGAGAGUAGAAUGUUCAUCCCUUGACGGUAUCUAACCAGAAAGCCACGGCUAACUACGUGCCAGCAGCCGCGGUAAUACGUAGGUGGCAAGCGUUGUCCGGAUUUAUUGGGCGUAAAGCGAGCGCAGGCGGUUUCUUAAGUCUGAUGUGAAAGCCCCCGGCUCAACCGGGGAGGGUCAUUGGAAACUGGAAAACUUGAGUGAAGAAGAGGAGAGUAGAAUUCCAUGUGUAGCGGUGAAAUGCGUAGAUAUAUGGAGGAACACCAGUGGCGAAGGCGGCUCUCUGGUCUGUAACUGACGCUGAGGCUCGAAAGCGUGGGGAGCAAACAGG